This 2079-nucleotide long non-coding RNA is filed under the name Homo sapiens (human). RNAcentral's name for it is "non-protein coding lnc-SLX1B-3:19". The record is from RNAcentral. Lineage: Eukaryota; Metazoa; Chordata; Mammalia; Primates; Hominidae.
AUUAAAGGUGUGAGCCACUGCACCCGGCCGGCCUUGUACUUUUGAGGCGGUGUUGACUCUUGCAAUCCAUAGCUUUGAGAGCUCCCCAUCCGAAUCUCAGGCACACUUGACUUUUUCACUCUCGUAGGAGUGAUCUCCUUAGUCCAUCGAUCAAACUGCUGAGAGCAGGCCAUGGCCUGCCUGCUGUCAUGGCCCGUGAAGCAGAAUUGGAGAUGAGAGGGGAGGACCUGGGCUGGAGAGUGGGCAGGAGGAGAUCCUGCAAACAGGGAACUGAGAGAGGGGAGGGAGGAGGAGGGUUUGAGAGUGGGGAGGGGAGCUGGGGGUGCUCCCUGAAGACCAGGAGGAGAGGAAGGAGGGGAGCUGCAGGCUAUGAACGGGGCUGCAGGUUAUGAAUGGGGCACUCCGGCGUUCUGAGAACUGAGCACUCCGACAUUCUGAGAACUGGGCACAGGGGCACCAGGCCCUAAGUGAGUUCUGCUCCGGGGUGGCCGGGCCCGAGAGCACUGACGUCCAACGGGAGUGUCGCUGCCCACCGCCUCCCACAAGAGGACACUUCGAUUUGCCAGAGAAGGGCAGAGUGGGAGAUGACUUUUUCUCAGCAUCUUGCCUCAUUUUCCUCUUCCCAGAGGUUUGUUUUUAAGGAAGUUUAAGCUUGCUGCACUGGAAAAGCAAAAAACAAUAUUUUGUAAAAUAAAUAUUUGUUUUGUGCAGACUUAGGCCUUUCCACAUAUUGGUUUUUCUUGAAGAGGAGACACAACCACAGCAGGGGUGAGGAGAAGAGAGAUGCAGUCACUCACUCAUUCAGGAAUAAUCUUUGAGUUGAAACUGCAGUCUGCUCUUGGCCAAAGGUAGGGUGCUGACCACCUUCACCUGGAGGCCGCCUUCACCUGGAGGCCGCCCACCACCUUCACCUGGAGGCUGCCCUUGCUCUUUCAGGAUCCUCUUUCAUGGGUUUCUGCAGAGCCACGGGGUCAGAGCACAUAUGUGGGCCAUGAGGACUUUUCCUUUGCACCCCAACACAUCUCUACCCGUCCUCCCUGCACCCCCAACCCGAAGACGGGCGUGUGAUCCUGUGGGUGGGUGCAUGGUCCGUGUGUGUAAUUUUGUCCGGAGCAGUAAUUCUCGGAGUGGGCCCCAGACCCGCAGUGUAAGCAUUGCCUGGUGCUGUGGUUUGGACGUGUGUCCCCUCCACAUCUCAUGUUGAAAUGUAUCCCCAGUGUUGGAGUGAGGCCUACGGACAGGGGUUUGGGUCAAGGGUCAGAUCCCUCAGGAAUGGCUUCCUGCCGACCCCACCUGCCAGUCAUGAGCGGGCCCUUGCUCAAUUAGUUCCUGCGUGAGCCAGGUGUUAAAAGAGCGUGGCCCCUCCCUCCCUUUGGCUUCCUCUCCCACUGUGCCCUCUGCACACAUGGCUCCCCUUCACCCUCCACCCUAAGUGGGAGCAGGCUGAGGCCCCACCAGAAGCAGAUUCUGUUGCCAGGCUUCUUGUACAGCCUGCAGAACUGUGAGCCAAAGAGACCACUUUUCUUUAGAAGUUGCCCGGCCCCAGGUGUCCCUUGAUAGCCACACAAAUGUUCACCUGUGAACUUGCUAUAAAUUCAGAUUCUCAGGCCCCACCCAGACCUGCUGAGUCAGAAACUCCAGCAGGGGCCUGGAAGUCUGCCUUUUACCAGGAACCUGUGUGAUUCCCAUACAGAGUUUGAGAACCUCUGGUCUCUGGAACUGCAUGCUUUAAAUGGGUGCAUUUUACGUAUGUGGAUUAUAUCUUUAAAAAGAUAUCCAAAGACAAACAAAAAGAUAAUUGACUACCUGAAGCAAAGACGGGAAAAGUGUAUUGUGGGGUUUGUAACAUGCAGAAGCAAAUCUGUGGUAACAACAGUACCAAGGAUGGGAGGCAGGAAGUACAGGCGCUGCUGUCAGGUUACUACAUGUAUGUGAAGUGGUAGAAUAUUGUGUAAUGGCAGACUGAGAAGCUACAGCUGUAACUUUAUCAUAAGCCCUAUUGCAACCAUGAAUAGCUACACUAAGAGGUAUAACAAGGCAAUAGUGAAGAUGAAAUGAAAUAAUAAAAAAAUACUCAGC